Molecule: transfer RNA, 76 nt
Filed under: Bacillota bacterium
Lineage: Bacteria; Bacillati; Bacillota
Description: tRNA-Glu
Rfam family: tRNA
About the family: Transfer RNA (tRNA) molecules are approximately 80 nucleotides in length. Their secondary structure includes four short double-helical elements and three loops (D, anti-codon, and T loops).
Source: RNAcentral
GGCGCGUUCGGCAAGCGGUCAAGCCAUAACCCUCUCACGGUUAUAUUCACGGGUUCGAAUCCCGUACGCGUCACCA